UCUGGCGGCAGUAGCGCGGUGGUCCCACCUGACCCCAUGCCGAACUCAGAAGUGAAACGCCGUAGCGCCGAUGGUAGUGUGGGGUCUCCCCAUGCGAGAGUAGGGAACUGCC
This 112-nucleotide ribosomal RNA is filed under the name Escherichia coli. Lineage: Bacteria; Pseudomonadati; Pseudomonadota; Gammaproteobacteria; Enterobacterales; Enterobacteriaceae. The record is from RNAcentral. RNAcentral also lists the same sequence under 10 other names.